CAAAUCCCACCAGACCAUGAGGAGGGAGUUUGGGGGUAGGUGAAUUGGGCUCCCACAUUUUAGACUCUCCUCUCCAACCCAGCCCCAGUCUCUCAUGAAAGGAGAGAUCUCUUGUCUCCCUCAGGAAGACAAAAGUGACCCCUCCCCUGCCCAGUCACAUGGAUGGAGCACUAAGUUAGGCUAAUUCAUUCUUCUCAUCCCCUCUAGAAGUUCCAGUUUCCUCAUCUAUACAGUGGAUGGUUGGGCUUGGGUGGUCUCUCAGGGGAUGUCAGAAUCUGACACUCCUGGGUGGGUGCUCUAGCCACAGCCCCCCUCCACAUCCCAAAUCUACAAACAAAACAAUUCCCCAAAGCUCUGACCCCAGAGCUCCAGGAAGGCCCAGCAGACACGGGACAAUUGGGCCUUUGUUGGUUGCCAUGGCACCUGGCUGGGUUGGACAAGGCGGCUCUGUGCUGUCUGCCUGGAGCUCAGCUUCCCCCACUCCCACACACCCAUCUCUUUCACUCUCCUCCAGCGCAAAGGCCAUGCACCCCUCAGCCAGAGGGUAGGAAGGGACGGAAUGUGAGCGAGCGGAUGGUGCCUGCGGAGGACACACCCAGGCUGGCCGCAUGGAUAUGCAUCUGACAUUGGGGUGCCCCUGCCUGGGACGCAGCUGACUGCCUUUGUAGGCAGGUCGGGGGCUACCCCUCAGACCAGAGUCCCCCACCAGGGCAUCUUCUAAGAAGACAGCAAGGGUGCCACUAGGCUGCUCUGCUGCUUUGCAUCACCCUCAGGUGAGGGCUCACCUCAGAGGCUGCUAAAGACCAGGAACCAGACACCCGAGGCAGAUGGACAAACUGAGGGUCCGCAAAUGACUCAUCCAUUUAUGCGAUGGAGCUUGCACUGGAAUCCAGCAACCAGAUGAAAAAGGAAGAUUCUCCAGCAGCAGUGAAGACUUCAGGGGAAGACUCUUCCCCCACCUCCCAAAGAGCGGGCACUAUGACAAGAAAAAGGAGAAAGGACGUGGCAAACUAAAACCAGACACCACUACGGAAUCUAAAUGUAGCCGGACUUGGCCCAUGUCUCUAAAUGUUGGUCAGUGACCCUCUUUGAGAAACCAAUAAAAAAGUUUAGGCUCUC
Macaca mulatta (Rhesus monkey) is the source of this 1119-nucleotide non-coding RNA. NCBI's taxonomy places the organism in Eukaryota, Metazoa, Chordata, Mammalia, Primates, Cercopithecidae. The record is from RefSeq and is a predicted model, not a curated record.